UAAUGCCUAGGAAUCUGCCUGGUAGUGGGGGACAACGUUUCGAAAGGAACGCUAAUACCGCAUACGUCCUACGGGAGAAAGCAGGGGACCUUCGGGCCUUGCGCUAUCAGAUGAGCCUAGGUCGGAUUAGCUAGUUGGUGAGGUAAUGGCUCACCAAGGCGACGAUCCGUAACUGGUCUGAGAGGAUGAUCAGUCACACUGGAACUGAGACACGGUCCAGACUCCUACGGGAGGCAGCAGUGGGGAAUAUUGGACAAUGGGCGAAAGCCUGAUCCAGCCAUGCCGCGUGUGUGAAGAAGGUCUUCGGAUUGUAAAGCACUUUAAGUUGGGAGGAAGGGUUGUAGAUUAAUACUCUGCAAUUUUGACGUUACCGACAGAAUAAGCACCGGCUAACUCUGUGCCAGCAGCCGCGGUAAUACAGAGGGUGCAAGCGUUAAUCGGAAUUACUGGGCGUAAAGCGCGCGUAGGUGGUUUGUUAAGUUGGAUGUGAAAUCCCCGGGCUCAACCUGGGAACUGCAUCCAAGACUGGCAAGCUAGAGUAUGGUAGAGGGUGGUGGAAUUUCCUGUGUAGCGGUGAAAUGCGUAGAUAUAGGAAGGAACACCAGUGGCGAAGGCGACCACCUGG
RNAcentral lists this ribosomal RNA (625 nucleotides) under uncultured Pseudomonadota bacterium. RNAcentral's name for it is "bacterial SSU rRNA". It matches the Rfam family "Bacterial small subunit ribosomal RNA", at positions 111 to 732 of the family's 1533-position model. Lineage: Bacteria; Pseudomonadati; Pseudomonadota. The record is from RNAcentral.